RNAcentral lists this long non-coding RNA (746 nucleotides) under Capra hircus (goat). RNAcentral describes it as "lncRNA (ENSCHIG00000002729.1)". Lineage: Eukaryota; Metazoa; Chordata; Mammalia; Artiodactyla; Bovidae. The record is from RNAcentral.
AUGCGUGUUACUUUUGAAAACUGUACUUGCAGCCCCUGGAAGCAUAUAUGUGUGUGUGUGUGCGCGCGCACAUGUGGCCUUGUUGCACGGCUAUCACCAAAAGGUGCUCUGUCUCUCUUGUUUGCAGGCAGCAGCACUGGGUUUCCCCCAUCACACAGGAUGGGAUUUGAGAGGAACAAGGACAGUUUUCUCAGCAGCAUAAGAGUUUCCAAGGGCGGCCUACGCAUGAUAAUUCACUUUCUAAAAACAACCUGUGCAGCUCGCGUGCCUCUGACGCUGCCUCUGUGCUCAGACCUGGCUCCUGCUGUCUGCAGCUCGAGAAGAGCACCCUCCCUUCAUACUUGGUGUCCCUCAGCCUCAGCCCCUUCUUCCUUGGGGUCGGCUCUGGGGAGGUUGGGGUCAGGUCCCCCCAGCCCCUUGCGAGUGGCAGUGUCCUGCAGCUGUGCUGGGGCCCCGGGAACGGCUUGCCUUGGACUCAGUUCAUGCUCCACGUUGGUAAUAUCAAAGUGCUCUCUCCUCUUUGGACCGUUUUCAGGAACUGACAUCAGUUUUCAUAUAGCUUAAGCUUAAAAAGGCUACAUCAGAGAAGAUCAGUAGUGUUGGGAGAAUCAUCACUUCCGAGUACAGGUCUCUGCUCUUCACACUGUCUGAAGGAAUGCUUACUUUCUCCAGGUGUGUUUUUGCCAGUGUCCAGUAAAACACAUUAAACUGUGGAAGGUUUAUGCUGGAAGUUCCCUAACUUGAAG